This 577-nucleotide ribosomal RNA is filed under the name Candidatus Williamhamiltonella defendens. RNAcentral's name for it is "bacterial SSU rRNA". It matches the Rfam family "Bacterial small subunit ribosomal RNA", at positions 111 to 684 of the family's 1533-position model. Lineage: Bacteria; Pseudomonadati; Pseudomonadota; Gammaproteobacteria; Enterobacterales; Enterobacteriaceae. The record is from RNAcentral.
UAAAGUCUGGGAAUCUGGCCGAAGGAGGGGGAUAACUGCUGGAAACGGCAGCUAAUACCGCAUGAAGUCGCGAGACCAAAGUGGGGGACCUUCGGGCCUCACGCCUUCGGAUGAGCCCAGAUGAGAUUAGCUGGUAGGUAAGGUAAAGGCUUACCUAGGCGACGAUCUCUAGCGGGUCCGAGAGGAUAGCCCGCCACACUGGAACUGAGACACGGUCCAGACUCCUACGGGAGGCAGCAGUGGGGAAUAUUGCACAAUGGGCGAAAGCCUGAUGCAGCCAUGCCACGUGUGUGAAGAAGGCCUUCGGGUUGUAAAGCACUUUCAGCGAGGAGGAAGCGAUAAAUGCGAAUACCAUUUAUUUUUGACGUUACUCGCAGAAGAAGCACCGGCUAACUCCGUGCCAGCAGCCGCGGUAAUACGGAGGGUGCGAGCGUUAAUCGGAAUAACUGGGCGUAAAGGGCAUGUAGGCGGCGAGUUAAGUCAGAUGUGAAAUCCCCGAGCUCAACUUGGGAAUGGCAUUUGAAACUGGGUCGCUAGAGUUUUCUAGAGGGGGGUAGAAUUCCAGGUGUAGCGGUGA